This 526-nucleotide ribosomal RNA is filed under the name uncultured bacterium. RNAcentral's name for it is "bacterial SSU rRNA". It matches the Rfam family "Bacterial small subunit ribosomal RNA", at positions 984 to 1509 of the family's 1533-position model. The record is from RNAcentral.
ACAUCCAGAGAAUUUAGCAGAGAUGCUUUAGUGCCUUCGGGAACUCUGAGACAGGUGCUGCAUGGCUGUCGUCAGCUCGUGUUGUGAAAUGUUGGGUUAAGUCCCGNAACGAGCGCAACCCUUAUCCUUUGUUGCCAGCACGUAAUGGUGGGAACUCAAAGGAGACUGCCGGUGAUAAACCGGAGGAAGGUGGGGAUGACGUCAAGUCAUCAUGGCCCUUACGAGUAGGGCUACACACGUGCUACAAUGGCGCAUACAAAGAGAAGCGACCUCGCGAGAGCAAGCGGACCUCAUAAAGUGCGUCGUAGUCCGGAUUGGAGUCUGCAACUCGACUCCAUGAAGUCGGAAUCGCUAGUAAUCGUAAAUCAGAAUGUUACGGUGAAUACGUUCCCGGGCCUUGUACACACCGCCCGUCACACCAUGGGAGUGGGUUGCAAAAGAGGUAGAUAGCUUAACCUUCGGGAGGGCGUUUACCACUUUGUGAUUCAUGACUGGGGUGAAGUCGUAACAAGGUAAGCGUAGUGCU